UGAGUAACACGUGGGUGAUCUGCCCUGCACUUUGGGAUAAGCCUGGGAAACUGGGUCUAAUACCGAAUAUGACCACGCUCUUCAUGGGGUGUGGUGGAAAGCUUUUGCGGUGUGGGAUGGGCCCGCGGCCUAUCAGCUUGUUGGUGGGGUAAUGGCCUACCAAGGCGACGACGGGUAGCCGGCCUGAGAGGGUGACCGGCCACACUGGGACUGAGAUACGGCCCAGACUCCUACGGGAGGCAGCAGUGGGGAAUAUUGCACAAUGGGCGCAAGCCUGAUGCAGCGACGCCGCGUGAGGGAUGACGGCCUUCGGGUUGUAAACCUCUUUCAGCAGGGACGAAGCGCAAGUGACGGUACCUGGAGAAGAAGGACCGGCCAACUACGUGCCAGCAGCCGCGGUAAUACGUAGGGUCCGAGCGUUGUCCGGAAUUACUGGGCGUAAAGAGCUCGUAGGUGGUUUGUCG
RNAcentral lists this ribosomal RNA (464 nucleotides) under uncultured Mycobacterium sp. RNAcentral describes it as "bacterial SSU rRNA". It matches the Rfam family "Bacterial small subunit ribosomal RNA", at positions 107 to 585 of the family's 1533-position model. The record is from RNAcentral. Lineage: Bacteria; Bacillati; Actinomycetota; Actinomycetes; Mycobacteriales; Mycobacteriaceae.